RNAcentral lists this unclassified non-coding RNA (320 nucleotides) under plant metagenome. Its description in RNAcentral is "partial contains 5.8S ribosomal RNA, internal transcribed spacer 2, and large subunit ribosomal RNA". The stretch from base 1 to 105 matches the Rfam family "5.8S ribosomal RNA", at positions 50 to 154 of the family's 154-position model. The record is from RNAcentral.
GAAAUGCGAUAAGUAAUGUGAAUUGAAGAAUUCAGUGAAUCAUCGAAUCUUUGAACGCACAUUGCGCCCGCCAGUAUUCUGGCGGGCAUGCCUGUUCGAGCGUCAUUACAACCCUCAGGCCCCCGGGCCUGGCGUUGGGGAUCGGCGGAAGCCCCCUGCGGGCACAACGCCGUCCCCCAAAUACAGUGGCGGUCCCGCCGCAGCUUCCAUUGCGUAGUAGCUAACACCUCGCAACUGGAGAGCGGCGCGGCCACGCCGUAAAACACCCAACUUCUGAAUGUUGACCUCGAAUCAGGUAGGAAUACCCGCUGAACUUAAGC